GAGUUUUACUAAGUGAACCUGAGGUUUUUCUCUUCCGCCAAAUAGGCCAGGCAAUCCAGUGUUGGACGUCUGUGACCCUCGCCCACCAGACGCAGGGAUCGAUAUCCACUCAAGCAGGACCUGCAGUGACGACAGGUGAGGGCCACACGAGUCAAAACCCAGCCCAAGCCACCGUGGGAAGGCUUGCCAAGCUCACCUCUC
RNAcentral lists this long non-coding RNA (201 nucleotides) under Ictidomys tridecemlineatus (thirteen-lined ground squirrel). RNAcentral's name for it is "lncRNA (ENSSTOG00000034605.1)". Lineage: Eukaryota; Metazoa; Chordata; Mammalia; Rodentia; Sciuridae. The record is from RNAcentral.